AAGUCGUAACAAGGUUUCCGUAGGUGAACCUGCGGAAGGAUCAUUACCAAUUUUUAAAUCUUCCAACCCAUGUGCACUAUGAUGAUUGUCUUGGUUUUUGGGGUGAGCUGUUACUACGGUCGUCACCCCAACCGAUUUUCUAAACUACUUUUAUUAUUGUCUUGGCAUCAAAAUUGUCUUUGAUAAAUUAUUAUGACAACUUUUAACGGUGGAUCUCUUGGCUCGUGGA
This 229-nucleotide unclassified non-coding RNA is filed under the name fungal sp. RNAcentral describes it as "partial internal transcribed spacer region". The stretch from base 1 to 46 matches the Rfam family "Eukaryotic small subunit ribosomal RNA", at positions 1786 to 1831 of the family's 1831-position model. Lineage: Eukaryota; Fungi. The record is from RNAcentral.